RNAcentral lists this ribosomal RNA (416 nucleotides) under Bodomorpha minima. Its description in RNAcentral is "partial small subunit ribosomal RNA". It matches the Rfam family "Eukaryotic small subunit ribosomal RNA", at positions 30 to 432 of the family's 1831-position model. Lineage: Eukaryota; Cercozoa; Glissomonadida; Viridiraptoridae. The record is from RNAcentral.
GCUUGUCUCAAAGAUUAAGCCAUGCAUGUCUAAGUAUAAACAUCUUUAUACCGUGAAACUGCGUACAGCUCAUUAUAUCAGUUAUUAUUUAUUUGAUGGUACCUUACUACAUGGAUACCCGUAGUAAUUCUAGAGCUAAUACAUGCGUAAAGUCCCGACUCUCGGGGAGGGAUGUAUUUAUUAGAUAAUUGAUAAACCAAUGCAGGCUGGCAACAGUCUGGUUCCUUUGGUGACUCAUAGUAACUGUUCGAAUCGCACGGCUUUAUGCUGGCGAUAGUUCAUUCAAAUUUCUGCCCUAUCAGCUUUCGACGGUAGUGUAGUGGACUACCGUGGCGUUCACGGGUGACGGAGAAUUAGGGUUCGAUUCCGGAGAGGGAGCCUGAGAAACGGCUACCACAUCCAAGGAAGGCAGCAGG